This is a long non-coding RNA of Triplophysa rosa, 2038 nucleotides long. RefSeq lists it as uncharacterized. The transcript is spliced from 5 exons. The record is from RefSeq and is a predicted model, not a curated record. NCBI's taxonomy places the organism in Eukaryota, Metazoa, Chordata, Actinopteri, Cypriniformes, Nemacheilidae.
GUAACCAUAGCCGAUGGAAGACAGCGAGGCAGAGACGAAGAACUUCAGGAUCUGGCAGCACAAUUAGAUGUUGAAACACAACAGUAGAAAAGAACUGAUGGAGAGGGAACCUGCUGUGAAGGAUACAGUGGAAAGGUGGCCAGCACUCUUUAUGGAGAGUCAGAUUCUGGCAGAGUUCACUCUUAUAUCUGUCAAAGACCUACAAACCGAAUUAUUUCUAGAACUGGACCGUUGACAUCUCAGAGCCAAAGGGGGAGACAUUGGCUCUAAACUUAAGAAGAUUCUGCAACAGAAUUUCAACAUUCAACAUUGAAAAUAAUAAAUCUGACAUCAUUGGGAGACGAACAGCAGUUCUUCAUGGCCUUCCACUCCUCCUUGGAGAAGACCCCACUGAUUUUUACAAGACAUUAAUUGUAAGUAGUUUUGUCUGUUUUGUUCUGGUAUUAUGGGGCUUUCGCACUGCAGGAACGAUUUCAUAGUUCCGGGAUGAUUUGGCAGAAGUACCUUCUUUUUGUUGUUUGCACCUCAGGAACCGGCCGGAAUUUUAGUUUGGAGGAACACUUUAGCUCCUUCUCCUAGGCAGGAUCUAAACCAGCAGGACGCGAACGAACUGUAACGUAAGCAAACGCUGACAGGCCAAACUUCUGUUGUUGGUUGUUUGUCGUUGUUCAACGGACGCGCUUAAAUGACAUCGCUGUCGACCAGCUACAUCACUAAAUAGUACCUUUUGCCGUUGCGAAUGCGAUUGAGGGAAAACUUAGUUCACGAACAAAAGCCACAUUUACUCGUUCUGGAACUUUGCGUUUAGUAAUGCAAAUAGUUCUUGAACAAAGAAUGGAAUAAGGAAAAGAGAAAUAUGAAUGAAUUAUUUAGAAGGGAAGAAAAAAAUUAGAUAAGGCAUUAAGAAAAUUAACGUAGAAGAGUAAAGAAAAGUUGGAAUGAGGCUAGAAAUUUAGACAAAAGAAUAAAGACACAACUAAGAUGGGAAAAAAUAAGUCAAACAAACAACAGAAAAGAGGAGGAAAGUAAAAGAAAAGUAGGACAAAAGAAGGUUAGAAAUGAAAGAAAGAAAAGGAAGUCAAAUGUGUUAUGGAGAAUUAAAAACCACUCAAAAUCAUGCAGAACAAAAUGUAAACGUUUAAUAAAUUAUUUUACGAAAUGCUACAUUUAUAUCACUUUUCAAGUGUCAAAUUAGCAGUUUCAGAAGAGGUUUCAUUUUUAUAGCUGGCCUUCAAUUUCUAUGAUCUUUUUGUAUAUUUAACCCCUUAACAUGCACCAGGCCCAUGGGCAGGCCAGAAGGAUCCAACAGAGUUUUGAGGUUUCAUCACAAGCAUUUUUAAAUACUUUAUAUAUUGGUUAAAUAUGUGCAAAACCCACAUGCAGACGUUAAACAUAACUAAUGAUUUAUGGAAAAAAAAUGAAAAUGAACAAGUUUGGAGAUUCCAGGUUUCUGUCGGACAGUGACUGUAGCGAGGAAGGCAGGGCGAGAGCCAUGGGGCGGGUAAGGCGGGGCCGGCGGCGUAAGUGGCAACGAGUGUCAGCUGUGUGACCGCCGGUUCCCGCAUGCCUCACAGGGGGAGCUCGGGAGCAUAAGAGGACGAGCGACCGGACCAUCGAGAGAGAGGACCCGGGCCCGGAAACAGACUAUAAUGAUGAAGGCAAUUCAAGCGGCAUAUUCACAUUGAACCCUAAGGACUGUGGAACCAUACCUAACUCGCUGAAGCUUGACGCCACAUCCACUGCCAUCUUUUUGGAAGGUACAAGUCUAAUGGAUGAAAUCUUACCCAAACCAUGUGCCUCCUUUUUGGGCUCUUUUAUGCUCUGAAUUUAGAGUACUCUCCAGUAAUGAAGAACAACUUUGAUUUCAUCCAGGGGGUGAUUUUGUCACUCGGGCACAAGUCUCUGAAACUUAAAAUACUAUCUCUGAAACAUAUUCUAAUGCAGUAACGUCACUUUUCUCUAAUUGUACAUUUAACGUUAAGUGUUUUGGUAAUGUUUUAUAGAAAUAAAUUACUUUGUUGUUGUGCCAACGAUCUGU